Molecule: ribosomal RNA, 116 nt
Filed under: Morganella morganii
Lineage: Bacteria; Pseudomonadati; Pseudomonadota; Gammaproteobacteria; Enterobacterales; Morganellaceae
Source: RNAcentral
CCUGGCGGCCAUAGCGCGGUGGUCCCACCUGACCCCAUGCCGAACUCAGAAGUGAAACGCCGUAGCGCCGAUGGUAGUGUGGGGUCUCCCCAUGUGAGAGUAGGGAACCGCCAGGU